UGGGGCAUAUUGCACAAUGGGCGCAAGCCUGAUGCAGCCAUGCCGCGUGUGUGAAGAAGGCCUUCGGGUUGUAAAGCACUUUCAGCGGGGAGGAAGGCGAUAAGGUUAAUAACCUUGUCGAUUGACGUUACCCGCAGAAGAAGCACCGGCUAACUCCGUGCCAGCAGCCGCGGUAAUACGGAGGGUGCAAGCGUUAAUCGGAAUUACUGGGCGUAAAGCGCACGCAGGCGGUUGAUUGAGUCAGAUGUGAAAUCCCCGGGCUUAACCCGGGAAUUGCAUCUGAUACUGGUCAGCUAGAGUCUUGUAGAGGGGGGUAGAAUUCCAUGUGUAGCGGUGAAAUGCGUAGAGAUGUGGAGGAAUACCGGUGGCGAAGGCGGCCCCCUGGACAAAGACUGACGCUCAGGUGCGAAAGCGUGGGGAGCAAACAGG
This 429-nucleotide ribosomal RNA is filed under the name Chloroflexota bacterium. RNAcentral describes it as "Chloroflexi bacterium partial 16S ribosomal RNA". It matches the Rfam family "Bacterial small subunit ribosomal RNA", at positions 355 to 776 of the family's 1533-position model. Lineage: Bacteria; Bacillati; Chloroflexota. The record is from RNAcentral.